RNAcentral lists this transfer RNA (73 nucleotides) under uncultured bacterium. Its description in RNAcentral is "tRNA-Lys". It matches the Rfam family "tRNA". From Rfam's summary of the family: Transfer RNA (tRNA) molecules are approximately 80 nucleotides in length. Their secondary structure includes four short double-helical elements and three loops (D, anti-codon, and T loops). Further hydrogen bonds mediate the characteristic L-shaped molecular structure. tRNAs have two regions of fundamental functional importance: the anti-codon, which is responsible for specific mRNA codon recognition, and the 3' end, to which the tRNAs corresponding amino acid is attached (by aminoacyl-tRNA synthetases). tRNAs cope with the degeneracy of the genetic code in two manners: having more than one tRNA (with a specific anti-codon) for a particular amino acid; and 'wobble' base-pairing, i.e. permitting non-standard base-pairing at the 3rd anti-codon position. The record is from RNAcentral.
AGGAGUAUAGCUCAAUGGCUAGAGCAACUGCCUUUUAAGCAGUGUGUUGCAGGUUCGAGUCCUGUUAUUCCUA